UAGCUUAAAGCCUUCCUCGACAAAUGAACUAUCCAACAUAAAAAUAAUUUUUCAAUUCAAUUCAAUAGCGCGUUCUAACAAACAAAUUCUUCAGCGUUAUAAUAUUGAAAAAUAUUAAUAUAUAUAUAUAUAUAUAGAUAUGCAUUUCCUUGGUUACGGUUUAUCGUAUAAAACAGAUGCAUCCGUCAGAAUUCCACAGUACAAACUCGCAGUUCUGUAAGUCAAAAAUAUAAAAGAGCAAGUCAGCCUAACGAGCAACGCGAAGCGCGGAAUGAAAUUGAACAAUUAAUCGAUGGAAUAGAAAUCAACGACAUAUUAAUGUUGCGUUUAACCCUUAUCGAGCUGCAUUCAAUUAUAACGUGGAAAUCGACAGUUUACAUGAAAUCGUUGCUAUUGAAACAAUGAACUUUAUGUGCCAAUAUUGUAAGGCAUUUAAGUUUAAAAAUGAAGCUACUGGAUUGUGUUUUGCGAGCGGUAAAGUCAAAUUGACGCCAAUGGCCAUUGGUCACGCCAGCAAUGCGUGUCUAUAGUCUAGACUGAGCGGUUGAUUGAGAAAGCCAUUACUUCCAGACAGUCUUUGAUUUACAAAAAUUAUAUACUAUAAUAUAUAAUUAAACUAACUAA
This is a long non-coding RNA of Aphis gossypii (cotton aphid), 624 nucleotides long. RefSeq lists it as uncharacterized. Lineage: Eukaryota; Metazoa; Arthropoda; Insecta; Hemiptera; Aphididae. The record is from RefSeq and is a predicted model, not a curated record. The transcript is spliced from 2 exons.